Ctenocephalides felis (cat flea) is the source of this 564-nucleotide long non-coding RNA. RefSeq lists it as uncharacterized. Lineage: Eukaryota; Metazoa; Arthropoda; Insecta; Siphonaptera; Pulicidae. The record is from RefSeq and is a predicted model, not a curated record. The transcript is spliced from 4 exons.
CGGGGCCCCGUUUGUAUGUUCGUCCCUAUUUUUAGGGGCGCUUGUGUUUUUUUUAUCUCAUUUCAGAUAUCUUUGCAAGAAAAUUGCUUACCAAGCAUACAGGUACUACCAAAAAAAACUCUACCGAAUAGAAAGAUAUGUGCAAGUGACUACCAAGAACUACUUCCACAACCCAUAGGAGGACAUGGUCAGACCAAUUGAUGUACCAAGACACUAAAAUUAUUGGCAUACUGCUAAGGUUACAGAAUUAAUUUCUUUUCGCACCACAAAGCACCAGGACUUCUAAAUACCUGCCAGGAGGAUACGCAUAUUUAAAGGGGCAUUUGUGUGUUUUUUUUUUCAUUUUAGAUGUCUUUCAAAGAAGACAUUAUAUUGUAUGUCUAUAUGUUUUACCAAGAUAUACACGAACCACCAAGAGACCACUACCGAAUUAAAGGACAUGUGCAAAUCUUGCACGAGAUUUGGCAGAAAAUAUUAACUCAAAACCAACUAGCACCACUACUACUACCUGAACUACCGCCUGCAACUGAAUUGGAUGAUAUGACAUAAUCAAAAGGAAAAUUA